This 166-nucleotide ribosomal RNA is filed under the name uncultured bacterium. RNAcentral's name for it is "partial 16S ribosomal RNA". It matches the Rfam family "Bacterial small subunit ribosomal RNA", at positions 346 to 509 of the family's 1533-position model. The record is from RNAcentral.
AGGCAGCAGUGAGGAAUAUUGGUCAAUGGGCGGGAGCCUGAACCAGCCAAGCCGCGUGAGGGAAUAAGGCCCUACGGGUCGUAAACCUCUUUUGUCGGGGAACAAAAGCGGGGACGCGUCCCCGUCUGCGUGUACCCGAAGAAAAAGCAUCGGCUAACUCCGUGCC